Molecule: long non-coding RNA, 7010 nt
Filed under: Salvia miltiorrhiza (redroot sage)
Lineage: Eukaryota; Viridiplantae; Streptophyta; Magnoliopsida; Lamiales; Lamiaceae
Description: long non-coding RNA (SMIL_LNC004923)
Source: RNAcentral
AGGGUUAAGAUCGAGAAUUUUUAAUCCAAAAAAAAAGUUACAACCCGACUAGUCAUAAUCAAAUAGCCCAACGACUUAAACAGACUAAUCCGAUUGACAUCCUUACCAACAUCAUCAUCAUCAUCAUCAUUAUCCUAAUUAACGAUCUUCAACACUCAAGAUCUAAUCAGGUUAGAAUCAAAUCAAUUGUGUAAUAGGAUAUUGGUGUGGUCCGUGUGGAGAUAUAUUUAUUUACUCCAUUUAUUUUAUUAUUUUACACAGGAAAGCCCAUUGUGUGGAGAGUUGGCCCAAUGAUCUUUAAUUCCCUAGCCCAAAUCUGUUACUCGGCCCAUUUCCAAAAACCUAGCCCACUAUCCCAUCUGCGCCGCUCCAUCUUUUCCACCGCCCGUCUCCUCGUUUCCCACCUCCGAAUUCAAUGCUCCUCCCUCCUUCCCAAUGACCUCCCCUCCUUUUUUAGCCCUGCUACAAGUCUUUCAAUGGUAAGGAAGUUUUCACACCGUCUGAAAUAGAAAGCUCUGCUAUUCCUUCUUGAAGUGUCGUCGGAUUCCUGUUCGUGGUUUCCUGAGUGGUGACUGUGGGUGUGUGUAAACACAAAUUUUAUUGUAUUCAAUUUAAUGAAAUACAAAAAUGUGUACAAAUCCAAAAUAUGUGGAUUGAAAUGAAUUUGUUGCGGGUUGCGAUUCUCUACUUUAAUCCUCUGAUUCUCCUCUUCAAACUUCUUCAAAUCCUUGGAGGAAAUAUAAUUUCUUGAUCUCCUCGAACUUGAAUGUUGACUUGAAUUUGAUAACGUCGAUCCAGAGGGCUUCCACCUUAUUUCUGAAUCAAACGUUGACUUGGAUGAAUUUGAUAAAGAACUCGUUAACUUCCUUGUAGAACGCCUUGAACCUUGAGCUUUGGACUUUAUAACGUUGAUGCAGAGGGCCUACGCCUUAUUUCUGGAUCGAGCGUUGAAUUUGACUUGAGCUUUGGGUUGCUUCCACAAAGAACGCCUUGAUUGUUGGAGAUGACUUCGUUGUAGUGAAUUACUCCUUCAAUGCUUGAGCUCUCUAAUGAUUUCUCUUCCUUUGACUCCACAAAUGACCCAUAUUUCUAGGUGAAGAAUGGAGUGGGCUAUGGGCUUUAGCCUGUCAUAUUGGGCUUUUAGGGCUGAGGUGGCGCGAUUUGAUUGGCUCCUCAAUAUUUGUAUUUAUCUGCAUAAAAUAUUUAAUAUUUUAUGUAGAUUUUCCACAUGUCAAUUUCUGAUUGGUCAAUAAAUCCACAUAAUCAAAUAUUAAUUACAUAUUUAUUUAAUCUUGGAAUUAUAUUUAAUUUAAUUCCAAAAUAUAAAAUAAAAUAUAUAAUUUCAUAUUUAAUUUGUAAUUUCCACAUAGCAGGAUUUAAUAGGCUAUAAAUUUAAUUGCCUACAGUGUGAACUUCGCUUCGAUUGAGUGCUUGUAUCAUCGGAUUCCUGUCCAUCGGUUUCCUGGUUUGGUGAUACUUUGUGAGUGUGCAAGCCAUCAGAAUCCUGUCCAUCGGAUUCCUGUUGCUGGUGGCUGUGCAAUCGAGAUUGGGGUGCUGAUCCGUUUCUCCUGUUCCCUUUGAGCCGUGAUCAUUGAGCUGCUGGAAGAGCCAUUGCCUACUGUGGGAAAAUCUGAGCCAAAGUGUCCCGAGGACACCUUUUCCCUUUCUCUAACUCUCCUUGUUUCUCUUUCCUCUGACUUUCCCUUGUUUCUCUUUUACUUGCUGCUUGUCUUUGUGUGUUGCAGAGAAGUGAAGAAGAGUAGAGGGAUCGAAGCUCCAGGAGCCAGAGGAAUCAGAGAGGAGGCGCCAGAGGAAUCAGAUAGGAGGCACCAGAGGAAUCGAGUCCAGUGGGGCGGUGUCCAGUCCAGCGCAGCGGAGUCCUCCAGUGCAGCGGGGUCGAGGCUGCUAGGCCAGCGGAGUCGUAAGUCGCCCCGAGCAGAGGAAGAUCAAGUGCUUGAGCACGAGUGGGGGAGACAGGAGGUUCGGGAACCAAGUGGUGUAACCCUGGCUAGACGAAGAUACCCAACAGUGGUAUCAGAGCCACGGUGACCUAGCCAGGGCACCCUCCGAACACAUCUUACCCAUCCCGCCGCCCUUCGGGCUGCGCCGAUUCGCUCCCGACGAGCAAGGAACUAGGUAGGACCGGCCUCUCCCCUUCCUGGGAAGGCGACUCUGGUAAAUUGGCAUAAUCUUGAAACUCCUAGAUUCUAGGGUUGGUGUUGCUGUUGUUUGUGUUUUGCAUGUUUUGCUUGCUGAGAUCUUGGUAUCUUGCGAUCCUGACUUGCUUAGUGCUUCCGCGUGUUGCCUGAAAUCUCGAUAAACCCUUGGCAUUUCAAGCCGAGUGAGACUCCCUUGCUUUGGUCCAGUUCGUCUGGAUUCUCCUUUAAAGGAGUCUCCUCGUGCGAGUAUCCUGGAAAACAAGAGAGAGAGGGGUUUAUCCAGUAAGGCUGAGAGUGGUUUAUUGUUUGUCUGCUUUGUCUCUGUGCUUUGUCUUGCCUACAUCUGCAUUCAUCAUGAACAACAUGCAUGUAGUGCCAUUUAAUGGCAGAGAUGAUUUUCAGGACUGGAAAAUCAAGAUUGAGUGCAUUCUUGUAAAAGAAAAGGUAAAAAGGGCCAUAACCACUAAGGUGGAUAAUUCAGUUACUGAUGCUAGGUUGCAUGAAAUGAAUGAUAGUGCUAGGGCCACUAUUUUGCUAAACAUGUGCAGUUCUGCGGUUAGAAAAGUGUCUCAUCAUGAAUGUGCUAAAGAUUUGUGGGAUGAUUUGAACUCCAUAUAUGCUGCACCUACUGAAGUGUCAACUUGGUCUUUGCAAAAUCAAUUCAUGACUUUUCAAAUGGACUCCUCAAAAGACAUUGACGCCAAAUGGAUAUUUUCAACAAACUGCUGCAUGAUUUAAAACUUGCUGGAGAUGACUCCAUUGAAAAAUAUGCUCCCCAAAUUCUUUUAAACUCUAUACCGAGCCUUUUCUGAGUAAACUGCUUAAUAUGGGGAUCAAAAGUACUGUGAUAUGAUUGUGAAUGGCCUUAAGUCUAAAGAGAGUGAACUGAAAUUGAUUAAGUCAAAGCCACUGCAUGGUGAGGUCAUGUUUGUUAACAAAGAUAAAAGGGGAUUUGAUCAAAAGCCUAAAAAGCUUUGUUGGAAUUGUGGAAAGCCUGGCCAUUUUUCAAAUAGGUGUAGACUGCCUAAGAAAAACAAGAGCUUUGAACCUGAACAGCAUGCUAACAAUGUGUUUGAAGAUGAUGGAGUCUAUAUGGUGCAUGAUCAUGAUUUUCAGUUCUUAAACUACUCCAAUGCUGUUUGUGAUGAGUCAGUCCCUUGCAUUCUUGAAUCCUCACAAUCUGCUGCUCCAAGUGAGGUGGAGAAUGUGAAUGUUGUUAAUCAAAGCCUCUGAGGUUGCUUGUCUCUUAUCUUUUCUUUUUGAGUUGUCUUCUUGUUUGCUGCAUGUGCUGUGUCUGUGCUCUGGUCUGUUGUUGUUCAGUUGUUGUUCUUUUCUCUUGAGUUUCUUGUGUUGAGUUUUGUGUGUGCUUGCCUUGUUUUCUUUUUCCUGCAUGUUGAGUUUUGUGUGGGCUCUGCUCUGCAUGUGUGUGUGCCUUGUUGAGUCAGUUGAGUCUUCAAUGAUAACCCUUUGGGUUUGAGAAAUGGUGAUUUCCCUUUGGGUUGGUCUCUGGUGUUGAGACUGAGAUUAAUAUGUAUAAUAUUUCUCUCACCCUCUAUUGUCUUGUCUUUGUGAUAGGAUGAUAGUAAAAAUGGCUGUGAUGAUAAGCUCGAAUCAAAGGCAUGCUCUUCCCUGGUGACUUAAUGAUCAUUGUGCCAAAGGUGGAAUGUGGAGAGUUGGCCCAAUGAUCUUUAAUUCCCUAGCCCAAAUCUGUUACUCGGCCCAUUUCCAAACCCUAGCCCACUGCCCUUCAGUUUUACUCCCCUCAUCCUCACUUACCUGCGCCGUUUCAUCUUUUUCGCCGCCCGUCUCCUCGAUUCCCACCUCCGACUUCAAUGCUCCACCCUCCUUCCCAAUGACCUCCACUCCUUUUUAUCCCUGCUGCAAGUCUUUCAAUGGUAAGGAAGUUUCACACACUGUUUGAUCGGAAGGCUCUGCUAUUCCUUCCUGAAGUGUCGCCGGAUUCCUGUUCGUGGUUUCCUGAUUGGUGACUGUGGGUGUGAACUUCGCUUCGAUUGAGUGCUUGUAUCACCGGAUUCCUGUCCAUCGGUUUCCUGGUUUGGUGAUACUUUGUAAGUGUGCAAGCCAUCGGAAUCAUGUCCAUCGGAUUCCUGCUGCUGGUGGCUGUGCAAUCGAGAUUGGGGUGCUGACCUGUUUCUCCUGUUCCCUUUGAGCCGUGAUCAUUGAGCUGCCGGAAGAAGCCGUUGCCUACUGUGGGAGAAAUCUGAGCCAAAGUGUCCGAGGACACAUUUUCCCAAACUCGAGUUUCCUCUGAUUUCCUUUCUUUUCUNCCCGUCUCCUCGAUCCCCACCUCCGACUUCAAUGCUCCACCCUCCUUCCCAAUGACCUCCACUCCUUUUUAUCCUUGCUGCAAGUCUUUCAAUCGUAAGGAAGUUUUCACACACUGUUUGACUUAGAAGGCUCUGCUAUUCCUUCUUGAAGUGUCGCCGGAUUCCUGUUCGUGGUUUCCUGAUUGGUGACUGUGGGUGUGAACUUCGCUUCGAUUGAGUGCUUGUAUCACCGGAUUCCUGUCCAUCGGUUUCCUGGUUUGGUGAUACUUUGUGGGUGUGCAAGCCAUCAGAAUCCUGUCUAUCGGAUUCCUGCUGCUGGUGGCUGUGCAAUCGGGAUUGGGGUGCUGAUCUAUUUCUCAUGUUCCCUUUUGAACCGUGAUCAUUGAGCUGCCGGAAGGGCCCUGCCUACUGUGGGAAAAAUCUGAGCCAAAGUGUCCCAAGGACACAUUUUUCCCAAACUCGAGUUUCCUCUGAUUUCCUUUUUUUCUCUCUUCCUUUUGGUCUCCUGUUGUUCAUUUUUCUUGCUUGCUUUCUUCCCUGUUUGUGCAGAGCAGCGAAGUCGACGAGUGCCAGAGCAGAGGAGGCGAAGUCGCUCCGGAGCAGAGAAGUCGCUCCAGAGCAGCGAAGUGAAGAUCCAGAGCAGAAGAAGAGUCAAGUGCUUGAGCACGAGUGGGGAAGACAGGAGGUUCGGGAACCAAGCGGUGAACCCUCGGCUAGGCGAAGAUACCCAACAGUGGUAUUAGAGCCACGGUGACCUAGCCAGGGCACCCUCCGAACACAUCUUACCCACCCCGCCGCCCCUUCGGACUGCGCCGAUUCGCUCCCGACGAGCAAGGAACAAGGUAGGACCGGCCUCUCCCCUUCCUGGGAAGGCGGCACUAGUAAAUUGGCUUAACCUGAAACCCCUAGAUUCUAGGGUUGGUGUUGCCUGCUGCUUUUCCCUUUUUUUUUUGCUUUUGCUUGCUGAGUUUCUGCUAUCUUGCGAUCCUGUGCUUUUGUGCUUCCGCUUGUUGUUCUACAUCUCGAUAAACCCUUGGUAUUCCAAGCCGAGUGAGAUCUCCCUUAUUUUAGUCCAGUUCGUCUGGAUUCCCCUGUGGGUCUCCUCAUGCGAGUAUUCUGGGUAACAAGGGAGAGAGGGGCUUAUCUGGAUUGGCUGUAUGAACUCUGGUGUUUGUUGAGCUCUGCUCUGGGUUGUUGCUUGUUGACUAUUGUUUGUUGGUGUCUGUGAGACUGUUGUCUUAAGUUUUGCUGCUUGCAGCUGUUUGAGCCUUUUUUGUCAUCAUGAACAACUGCUAUAGGUUGUGGGAUAGGUUUGUCCCUGGGUUUAAAACUAGCAUGAGUAGGGAUGUGGUGCUUAAUGAACUUAUCUUUCCAUGUUUGACUGAAUCCUCACAAUCUGCUGCUCCAAGUGAGGUGGAGAAUCUGAAUGUUGCUGAUCAAAACAAGUAUGAGUUUAUGUUUCCUCACCCCACUGUUCCUUUUGAGGUGGAUCCUCAACCCAACAUGCAUGCUGAACCAGAAAACUUGCUUGAGCCUGUUAUAAAUGAACCUACUAAUAAUGAAACUUGGAUACUUGUGGAACAGCCUACUGAAUGCUCUGUUAUUGGGUGCAAAUUGUUGCUUAAAGACAAGCAUGAAACUGAUAAUGUGAGAUAUAAGACAAGACUUGUUGCCAAGGGCUUUACUAAAAGGAAAGGCAUAAAUUAGAAUGGAAUAUUUGCUCCAGUUGCAAAACUGAAUUACUGCAAGAAAAGUAGAAAACCUUUAACUUAGAUCAUGGUUAAAAAUUUAGUCUCUGUGUUUGUGUGUGGCAAGUUCAGCCUCUGUGGCUGCUUGUCUCUUUUAUUUCCUUUUCUUUGUUGUUUGUUGAGCCUUGCUCUGGUCUCUGUGUCUGUUGCUCUUCUCUUUCUUGUUCUGGUUGUUUUUCUUGUCUCUCUUGUGUUUUGUGUUUUGCUCUGUGUCUGCCUUCCUCUUUUGCAUGUGUGUGUUCUGUUGUGUUUUGUGUGUGGUCUGUUGAGUCUUCAAUGAUAACCUUUCAGUUUGAGAAUGUGGUGAUUUCCCUUUGGGUUGGUCUCUGGUGUUGAGACUGAGAUUAAUAUGUAUAAUAUUUUUCUCACCCUCUAUUGUCUUGUCUUUGUGAUAGGAUGAUAGUAAAAAUGGCUGUGAUGAUAAGCUCAAAUCAAAGGCAGGCUCUUCCCUGGUGACUUAAUGAUCAUUGUGCCAAAGGUGGAAUGUGGAGAGUUGGCCCAAUGAUCUUUAAUUCCCUAGCCCAAAUCUGUUACUCGGCCCAUUCUCCAAAAACCUAGCCCACUAUCCCAUCUGCGCCGCUCCAUCUUUUCCACCGCCCGUCUCCUCGUUUCCCACCUCCGAAUUCAAUGCUCCUCCCUCCUUCCCAAUGACCUCCCCUCCUUUUUUAGCCCUGCUACAAGUCUUUCAAUGGUAAGGAAGUUUUCACACCGUCUGAAAUAGAAGGCUCUGCUAUUCCUUCUUGAAGUGUCGCCGGAUUCCUGUUCGUGGUUUCCUGAGUGGUGACUGUGGGUGUGAACUUCGCUUCGAUUGAGUG